AACGCAUAUUGCGCUCGAGGCUUCGGCCAAGAGCAUGUCUGCCUCAGCGUCGCUUUAAUCCCUCACACCUUCACAUAUACUCUGUGUGUAUGUGUAUGGUUGUGGACCUGGCUUUCUCAGUCGGCAAGCCGGCUGGGUUUGCUGAAGAGCAGAGGUUGAUGCAUGGACCCGUUAUGGGCCUCAGCUGGGUAGGCAAAUCACUUUGCUAAAUGCUUUAGCUGUUGGCUUGGGACUGUGCCUUGUCGGCCCGAACCAGGAAACUCUUCAAACUACUCAAACUUCGACCUGAGCUCAGGCAAGAACACCCGCUGAACUUAA
Molecule: unclassified non-coding RNA, 318 nt
Filed under: uncultured Chlamydomonadales
Lineage: Eukaryota; Viridiplantae; Chlorophyta; Chlorophyceae; Chlamydomonadales
Description: sequence contains 5.8S rRNA gene, ITS2, 28S rRNA gene
Source: RNAcentral